AUGUGGACCUGUCUUCGUCAGCGCUAUGAGCCCUCUGGUGAUGCCUUAUACCUUUCUGUGGUUCGUCAGGAGCAUGCUCUUCAGCAGGGUGACUCUACUGUUGAUGACUUUUAUGCACAGAGUUCUGCUAUCUGGCGCCAGCUUGAUUCUCUCCGCAGUGCUGGUUGUCGUACUUGCCCCUGCUGCCAGGCUGUCCAGGCCAAUUUGGAGUUUCAUCGCGUCUACGAGUUCCUGUCUCGGCUCCGUAAGGAGUUUGAGCCCCGGCGUGCUCAGUUGUUUGCUCGUGGCCGUAUUUCUCUCAUGGAGGCGCUUUCAGAGAUUCGUGCUGAGGAGACUCGCUUACGUGGUGCUGGUUUGCUGGAGGUUCCCUCUGUGCUCGCUAAUCGGGCUUCUUCCACUCCACCUGCUGCACCGCCCCAUUCUCGCUCGAGUGCUCCGCCGCUCUUGCCCACUCCUUCUGGAGGCUCAGGUCGCCCCCGUCCACAUUGUGACUACUGCAACAAUGAUGGCCAUAUUGAGUCCCAGUGCUACACAAAGCGGAAACACCUGCGCAAGGCGCGAUCAUCCUCCUCAGGGACUUCGUCAUCUCCCUCGACAGCUUCAGCCAUUGCUUUGACUGAGCAGGAUAUUCUGAGACUUAAGCGUCUGCUCGCGGCUUCAGGUUCUUCCUCGACGGGUACUGCUGGUUCUGUGACUGAUGCUUCUCGGACUGAGCACCCGCCCUCUACACAGUCAGGUACAUCCCCAUGGGUUCUGGACUCUGGAGCUUCUUUUCAUAUGUCUUCUCAUUCUUCCGCUUUGUCCUCUCUUCGAUCGCUGGAUUCUCCUGUUCAUGUCUUCACUGCUGAUGGUACUCCACUUUCUGUUGCUAGUAGAGGCCAUCUUUCCACUCCUUCUUAUUCUGUUCCUGAUGUUGCUCAUGUUCCUCGACUUACCAUGAAUCUGUUUUCUGCCGGUUAA
This 960-nucleotide ribosomal RNA is filed under the name Triticum aestivum (bread wheat). RNAcentral describes it as "partial small subunit ribosomal RNA". The record is from RNAcentral. Lineage: Eukaryota; Viridiplantae; Streptophyta; Magnoliopsida; Poales; Poaceae.